Gallus gallus (chicken) is the source of this 1265-nucleotide long non-coding RNA. The record is from Ensembl. NCBI's taxonomy places the organism in Eukaryota, Metazoa, Chordata, Aves, Galliformes, Phasianidae.
GUGAGAGCAGGCAUCUGUGCCCCAGGGACGGAUGGGAUUGGGACUUGGGCUCCUCACCCACGUUGCUCUUCCUUCCUGAGACAGGGAGCCAGCUGUGCACCCUUGUUCUAUAGGGGCACCACGGCUCUCCUGCUCCUCCAAAUAGGGGCAGGAGCCUCUGGUAACAUGCAGCACCCUUCUCCCCAUCCCAGUCCCCGCUCCACCCGCAUGCCAGCCCAACCACACACGUCAGCCUGCAUGGUGGGGACGGCCCCGUGCCAGGAGGUGCCACCAAGUUGUCUCCUUCACCCAGGCGGAAGGCAAAGUCCCUGAUUAGAGCAGCUCUGCCACAACCACCCCUGGCCUCUGCAACACGGGGAAAGUCCGUGGACCGUGUGCCAGGUUGAGUUGGUGGCAAGAAGCACACCUGGGGACAACGGGUCCUUCCUGCAUGAGCACCUCUCAGCAGUGAGGAGGUGGUGGGAAAAUGCCUUUCCUUGCCUGCAGUACGCUCGUAGGUUGUAAGGUUGUAAACAUAAAGUCCUCCUGGUCCUGCUCCAGGCUGGCUAAACACCAGCUCAGGCCCCUCCCAAGUGCUUUUCCCAUCGUAUCCGUGCGCUCCCACCUGCUCAGGAAGCUCCAGCCCAUCCAGUCCCUCGCUGGGAAACCACUGCUCUGUCUUGGCCUGCGUCCCCGGGGCGCUGCCUGAUCUCAUCUCCACAGGUGUCCUGCAGGUGGGUGCCCUCGGAGCCCGCAGACACACACCCACACCCGACAGAGCAAAGCAGGGCUCAGGGCUGCUGAUGCUGCUGGGAAAAAGGCAGGAUGAGCACGGCCAGGAGGCAGGAAAUCAUAGCAGCCCCUUGCAGGGACCGCUUGGGAAGGCUCUCAGUGGGGGAGAACAUUCUGUAGGCUGUGGGGCCUUGAACAAAUUCAGUGACCAUAAGUUGCAGAGAAGCAAGGUGGUGCGCCCAACAAAUCCAUUGAUGGCAGAGAUGCAAGGUGGUGUGCGGUACAUCCCAUACCACCUAGGCUGAACACCUGAUCCUACUCAUUCUUGCAAAGCCCCGUGCAGAGGAUGCCACCCCAUUGCAGACUUUUUGGGAUGAGCUGGGAUUGAGGCCAUUUGGUAAAGUUCUCUGUGAUACAGAGAGGAAAGCUGUAGACUGACCGUGCCACAUCCCCAGAAACCCAGUGGACAGGAUGGCAUUUGAGCUCUUAAAUGGCUCCUGAUAUGCCUGCUGACACUCUGGGGUCUAUGUGGUCCAUGGGAUGCUCCAGGAACC